Molecule: transfer RNA, 71 nt
Filed under: Clunio marinus
Lineage: Eukaryota; Metazoa; Arthropoda; Insecta; Diptera; Chironomidae
Rfam family: tRNA
About the family: Transfer RNA (tRNA) molecules are approximately 80 nucleotides in length. Their secondary structure includes four short double-helical elements and three loops (D, anti-codon, and T loops).
Source: Rfam by way of RNAcentral
AUAUACAUAAUAAUACAUAAACAUAUCAGCCCGGCAAGCUGAAGGCGCGGGUUCGAUUCCCGCUGGAAACA